GGGUAUCCCAAAGGUUAUAGCCAGAUAUCAAGGCGGACCAGGUAACCAAAUUUCUGUGGGGCAUUUCGUCGAACACCUGGUGGGCCGGGUGAAGAAGUCCACAUUUGGCGUAGAAAUUGAGAAUGUGAUUGCACAUGGAGGUUUCUGCUAGUGAUUGCACAUGGAGGUUUCUGCUAGUCUUCCUGUCUUGAUAGCUGCAGCGUGGAGCGAAACCCCACGUCUUAAUGCCUUGGCUUUGGCGCAAUGGUGGAGAAACAAACCAAGAUUUUGUAGCGUCAUCAAUUUUCAGACGACAAAAUUUGAUGGUGACGAUGAACACCUCGAAAUGUACAACGUAGAAUUAAGAAUUUCAGAUCACCCAAAAUAUGACUUCGCCAAGAUCAAA
This 385-nucleotide long non-coding RNA is filed under the name Salvia miltiorrhiza (redroot sage). Its description in RNAcentral is "long non-coding RNA (SMIL_LNC006556)". Lineage: Eukaryota; Viridiplantae; Streptophyta; Magnoliopsida; Lamiales; Lamiaceae. The record is from RNAcentral.